AAUCAACGCUGGCGGCGUGCCUAACACAUGCAAGUCGAACGCGAAAGCCCCGCAAGGGGUGAGUAGAGUGGCAAACGGGUGAGUAACACGUGGGUGACCUGCCUUAGAGUGGGGGAUAACGUCCCGAAAGGGACGCUAAUACCGCAUAACAUCCUGCCUUUGAAGAGGUGGAGAUCAAAGCCGGGGACCGCAAGGCCUGGCGCUCAAAGAGGGGCCCGCGCCUGAUUAGCUAGUUGGUGGGGAAUGGCUCACCAAGGCAACGAUCAGUAUCCGGCCUGAGAGGGCGGACGGACACACUGGGACUGAGACACGGCCCAGACUCCUACGGGAGCAGCAGUGGGGAAUUGUUCGCAAUGGGCGCAAGCCUGACGACGCAACGCCGCGUGGAGAUGAAGACCU
This 399-nucleotide ribosomal RNA is filed under the name uncultured bacterium. RNAcentral's name for it is "bacterial SSU rRNA". It matches the Rfam family "Bacterial small subunit ribosomal RNA", at positions 29 to 417 of the family's 1533-position model. The record is from RNAcentral.